This 567-nucleotide ribosomal RNA is filed under the name uncultured bacterium. Its description in RNAcentral is "partial 16S ribosomal RNA". It matches the Rfam family "Bacterial small subunit ribosomal RNA", at positions 355 to 914 of the family's 1533-position model. The record is from RNAcentral.
UGGGGAAUUUUGGACAAUGGGGGAAACCCUGAUCCAGCCAUCCCGCGUGUGCGAUGAAGGCCUUCGGGUUGUAAAGCACUUUUGGCAGGAAAGAAACGUCGCGGGUUAAUACCCCGCGAAACUGACGGUACCUGCAGAAUAAGCACCGGCUAACUACGUGCCAGCAGCCGCGGUAAUACGUAGGGUGCAAGCGUUAAUCGGAAUUACUGGGCGUAAAGCGUGCGCAGGCGGUUCGGAAAGAAAGAUGUGAAAUCCCAGAGCUUAACUUUGGAACUGCAUUUUUAACUACCGGGCUAGAGUGUGUCAGAGGGAGGUGGAAGUUCCGCGUGUAGCAGUGAAAUGCGUAGAUAUGCGGAGGAACACCGAUGGCGAAGGCAGCCUCCUGGGAUAACACUGACGCUCAUGCACGAAAGCGUGGGGAGCAAACAGGAUUAGAUACCCUGGUAGUCCACGCCCUAAACGAUGUCAACUAGCUGUUGGGGCCUUCGGGCCUUGGUAGCGCAGCUAACGCGUGAAGUUGACCGCCUGGGGAGUACGGUCGCAAGAUUAAAACUCAAAUGAAUUGAC